Molecule: long non-coding RNA, 4667 nt
Organism: Parus major (Great Tit)
Lineage: Eukaryota; Metazoa; Chordata; Aves; Passeriformes; Paridae
Exons: 3
Source: RefSeq, a predicted model, not a curated record
AUAUCAGUGGAAACUGAUUAGGAUUUGAAACACAUUUCAGGUGGUGUUUUUAAUGUGGUCCUGUGUUCUUUUAUUUUAUUAGUAGUUAUGGUGAUAGAUGCAUUAGACAGUUUUCUGGGUGCUAGAACAGCUUUGUUGGUUAACUAUUCAGCUGUCUUAAAUACUGACUGUGGACUCUAAUUCAGAAGUUUGAAAGGAGCAGCAAUUUGGAUUUUUAGGAAAAAAUACUUAGCUUAAGAUGUAAUGGGCAACAUAUGGAAUAAUUUGCUGAAUAACACCAUCAAAGCAAAUGGCAUGAAAACAAGUUUGAGACACAUAUUUCAGAAAAGGAAACAUGGUAUUGAAAUGCACAGCAGAGAAACGCUUGUGAUGAAAGGAUAACCCUCAAGGAGACAUGCGUGCUGGACCAAGGGGUCUUUCCUUGCACGGCAGUAGUUUGUUUUGGUGUUAGAAAAAACAUUAGAAAUCAAAACCCAGAGAACUAGAGGAAGCAGAAGAAACAUAGUUGCCCUUGGCAAUGCAUUGUGAGGAUAAAACAAAUUUUAUUUUUGCCUUUGCAUUUCUGAGCAUUCGUGGAUUUAGAUGAUUUGAGACCGGAGGUGACAUAAGCAGAACAAUGAAGCAGAGAGAAGCCUUCUGCUUGUUUCCAUCUCAUCAGUGCCCUAUUAUCCAGGGACCAAAAUAAGGAAUUAGAGAAGUUGCUUGGGAAGGUUUGGCAAAGCAUUAACUUUGUUUGGUCUCUUUGUGGCUCAUUCUGUGAUACAGCAAAGAAAUAAGUUUCAUGAAGAAGACUUGCUGUAAGGAAGCUUCAUUUUCUGUCCCCUUUAUUUGGAAAAGGAGACUGUCAUUGUUUGAUAAUUUUCCUUUUUCCAUCUGUUGAGCUUCCAUGCUGUGUUUUAGAGACUCCUUGUAACUGAAUAUAUUUGGAAAUGAUCUGUGCUCCCUUAUUUGCAGAGGUAAUUUGCUGUUCUCAGUUCCUUUUUCAUGUGGAUCCUGGACAAAUGGUGAAAGAAUAUGACUAAUGUUGAAGAGAAAGGGUCACUUCCAUCUUUUUCGUGUGGUGGCCAUCUCAAUAACAAAAAGGGAUGGGAACUUGCAGGCAAGCAGAGCUCUGAAUUACCUUUCUACUAAAGUUUCCUGGAUUUAGUACUUUAAAUGGCGCUGCUGCACAAAGAGACCUGUGUGAUUUUAAGUUGGUAGAGUGGAAGAUAAACUAGGUCAGUAUAAUGAAGCUGCAAAAAUUGUGCUGCCUUUUAUCCCAGAAAAAGGGGGAGAGCACAAUCACAGGGUGACCAGGAGCCAUGACAUCCGCUGGGACCUGUUGGUAGUUGGGCUCCCCAGGCAGGAGGGACAAUGAUACCGUAGUUUCAGUUUGCUUCUGUGUAUCUUUGAUUCCUCUUGAGCAAAAGCUGGCCUGGCUGAUCCUUGAGCUGUCAUGGGCAUGAUGAAGGGGACUGUUGCUCCCAAGACCUCUAGUGCUUAAAUUGAUUUCUUUUAGCAUCAAGUUGAGAAUUUGAGUCUUAGCAGACAGAAAAGGUGAGGAGACCAGAUCCUUGUAUUACUCACCAUAUGGAUUCACCAUUCACUUCUGCAGUGGCACAAUGGUACUUCUUUUUCUGCUUGCUUUCCUUUCAUGCUGGUUCCUGAAAUUAUGUGCUGUAGGGACAAUAACUGAGUAUUUCUGAAAACUGUACACUGAGAUUUUAGGACCUUCACUGGAGCACUGCUAGCUCGUCUAGAGCCCAUUAAAACGUGGGCGUCGUGAGGUGCUGUUUCCCAAACACAUUAUUUUUGCAUUUCUGGGCAUUUGUUUUGCAUCUGUGAUUUUAUACCCAGACUCAGUAUCAUGAGAUCCAUCUGCAGAUCUUCAAGGUCAGUUUAAAAUCUGACUUGGAUUGUCUGCAGUCUUUGCCACUGUUACUCUCACAGCCUUUGCUACAAGCUCCGAGAACUGCAGAGUGUGUUUGGUAGUGACCUCCAAACUAUUUAGGGAUUGAGUGUGACUUCAGCUUUUUUGCAGCAAGAUGAGUUCCUAUAGUAUGCUGAGCUGUAAUAUGGCUUGAAACAUGUCUUUUCUAGAACUUCAACUAUAUUCUGUAGCAAACUGAACUAGUCCUGAGUAUUGACACUUAGGAGUAAACCCAGGGUCAGUGUCACUUUCAUCUUCACACAGGUGCAGGAGGGUGACUAGAGUCAGGAAAUCAACUGAAAUAUUUUUAUACACAGUAAUUUCUGUCAUUUGGGGGGAAAUAACAUAUUUUAGAAGAGUGUGGUAACCUUCCACUGUUUGUUUUUCAUUCUGAUUUUUAAUCUAAACACUACAGUCCUAUAGGCUGUCAUUUCAAAGGGAAAAAAUAAGCAGAGAAUAUUAAGAAGCAAUUAAGAUUUUAGAGUUUAGCCAACAGCAAAUUUUAAAUGGGAACUAAAUUAUAGCCAUUUCUCAUUUUCAGCUAAGAGGAAGAAAUUCAUUCACGACUGUAGCUGGAGAGUUUUCUUUUUCUUUCUUUUGAACAGAUACUAUAAUUCACCUUGAAUUAUUGCCACCAUCAAUAUCAUGAUCCCAAAGACAAAAUAGGAAUAUUGUACUGCAUUUCCUAUUAAAUCAAGCUGUUUAUACAGUGCUAAUAUGUUUACUUUCAGGGGGGAUUUUUGGAACAAUGCAGCUGCUGCCUUUCAAAGAGCAAGCAAGCUUGUGUUGCUUGUUUUAUAGCUGUGUGUGUAUAUGAGACAGCUUGGGAAAAAAAUGUCUUUAAUUUUCCUUAGGCAAAAUCCUAUAGAAUUUCGUAGAUGGAGAGAGUUUUCUUAGGUUUUUGUUAAGCAUCCUGUCAAAUUGAACAGAAUCAUUAGGACAAGUCCUGUGACAGAGCCUUGUACUUCUCUGGCAGUGUCUUUCUGUGCAGGAGAAAUUACACUGAGCACCAGCAGAUGUGUUCUUUUUUCUGACUUGGUCAUUGAUUUCUGUGGGACCUCAGGCCAAGUCACUUAGGGGUUGAGAGUACUGUUGUUGAACUCAGUGGCAAAGAUCUCACUGGGAGCAAGCUCAGGUGUUCAAUAUUUCAGCAUCGGAGUUCUGACACUGGUGGAACAGCACUGAAAAAGGAUGGUCAGCUGUAUUUGUAUAUCAACUUAUAAUAUAGCAACAAAAGCUGCAACAUAAAGAACCCUCAUAUUUACCAUGUCUAAUAACUGUGCCUCAGAAAAUUACCUUUUGGUGUUAAAUUCUGGGGAGCCUGCACAGCUGCUUAGCCAAGAGAGCGUUAAAACUUAAUUGAGAGAAAAAAAACCCCAACAAUUUCUGCCUGUACCAGGUUGUAAAAAGUGCUGAAAUUGUUAUUUGAACCUAUCUCUAGGUUUUAUUUUAUGAGUAUACAAAGUGUUGUUCAUCUACUGUACUGAUUGGAAAAGGAGCAUUGCAAAUUUACAGACCAUUGUAAAAUUGUUUGCUUACAAUGAUAAAAGCUUCUUUCAGCUUACUCUAAAAUGUUUGUGAUUCUUCUCAUUUUCUCACCCAUGGAGGAGGUUGAGUGGUAACACUUUCUGAGACCCUGGGUGUUAAUUUUAAGAAUGCCUCAGAUGCAGUUGCAUGAGUAUUUAUUUCAGCAGCAGCAGUUCAGGCAGGGUCCUCUGUUCCUGCCCUUGUUCUGCCCUCUGUGAUCCCAUUGCAAAUGUUUGUACAACCAUGUGAGGAGAUGGAUUGCAAAAUAAUCCAUGUUUAAAAAAAAAAAAAAAAACUUUAACAAAAAAAUGAGAGGAGUUUUUCAUGUCCUGAUUUAAACCAGAUUAGCUCCUAGUCUGGUUCAUGUAGUAACAGGACAGAGCUGUACCAGCAUAACUGAGGGAGCAGCACAGGGCAGGGAUGAGAAGGAUGGAUGGGGAUGCUCGUUCCAACAUGGUCCUUAGCGAUGCCUGAGGACCACGUCCAGGUGCUUGUGCUCAUCUUGGGAUGGCAGUGCCCCAGAGCUUGUGUCACCACUGAGGAGAGCUGACAAGGACAAGAGACUUCUGUUCUCCCUGGAAACAGGCAACUCCCCAGGGAGACAAGUGAAAACACGGAGAAUUCUACAAGAUCCCAUUUCCUUCCUGGUGAGGCCAAUAGUGACCUGCUGCUUUACAAACCAACAUAUUUUGUCUUGAGAAAGGAAACAGCAAGGUUUUCUGAAGGUUUCUCAUGACAGAAGUUGAAGUCAUGUUUUCUGCUAGUACCUUGUCUCCCUACAACUGUACAAUUGUCCUGUGUCCUUGUUGGAAUUUUGGAGUCCUGGAGAGGAAGGAGAGAAUGAUGAACAGCUUAUCAAGCACCAAGGACAUUUACUUGGUUUACAUCUGCCAUAGCUAUUCUGAACAUGUUUAUGGUGUGGAGGGUUUUAUAAACUUUAUAUUUAUUAGCAGUAAUUCCUUACUAUUAAAAAAAAAAUUAAUAUUUAAUAAUUAAAGCACACCAUUUGCAUGCACAAAUCACCAUAAUUUGACUUGGGUGCUAUUUAGUACUGAAUCUAUUUAGGCAAAGCAAUUGUAUCUCUGUGGAGAUCAAUCCUAAAGAAUAAAAGAAAUUAAAGGAUUUUAAAAUUAAUUAGAGCAAAGAAAAGAUUGUCUUCUUUUUCCUGAGACUAUGGAAAUAAAGUUUCUGCUUUCUAAAGCAAAAUAUAGUAAUUAGGAAAUUUGAAAAU